This is a long non-coding RNA of Xiphophorus maculatus (southern platyfish), 870 nucleotides long. RefSeq lists it as uncharacterized. The record is from RefSeq and is a predicted model, not a curated record. NCBI's taxonomy places the organism in Eukaryota, Metazoa, Chordata, Actinopteri, Cyprinodontiformes, Poeciliidae. The transcript has 3 exons.
CUGCAACAGACUGGCAACCUGUCCAAGGAGAAAGGCACCAGCACCCCUCCUUACCCUAUAAGGGACAAAGGCCCCCAUUAAGUGCUUAAAAGAGGAAAUCCUCAGUCGGAGCAUCACAGGGAGCUCGCUGGCCGUUUCAGCUCUGCAGGAUGUUUGGAGAAAUUCCCUGCGCUCACAUCAACACAGGCUGUGCUUUUUAUUAAAUACAGCUGUACCACAGUAUAUCCUGCACCUCUGCCAACAAUAAUUUUUCUUCCUCUAUCUUUUUUCUUCUUCUUCUUCUUCUUCUUCAGGAUUUCUUGUUCACUCUUGUACUCUGUGGCAGCUCUCUUCACCUCGCUGACAGCAGACAGAAGCCAGAGAGGAGUCGUGAAUCCAGACUUUCAUCUCCCUUUACGUCUGUCAUGGCUGCCUUUCUGCAGCAGCAGCUGUGGAGCUCCGCGUCUCGCCGGCUUUUGUCUUCCUGUUCUUCAUCCCAUCGUUGCGAAUUUCUAGGAAGCAUCUUGGAUUGAAUGGAUCAUAUCAGAGGUGUCCAAACUUUUUGCCAGCAGGGACAAAAUCAUCGAGUUGAAAGCACUUGGAGGGCCAUGAAAAUGUAUUUUUGUGAAAUAAAAAUGUACAAAUAAAUGCAUUGUUCUUUUUUUUUCAAUUUUUAUCUGUUCAAUAAUUAACUAAACAUGCAAGGUUUUAUUGAAUUGUACCAAAUAAACACAUUUUUGUUGAAAAUGGAUCUGUAAAAGAAAAUAAUGGUCCCAAACAUAAAGGGUCCUGUAUGAUUAGUGUUAUCACAAAACAUAAAAAACAGACCUUCAGUUUGCUGUGAUUGUUUUAUUUCUGGGGCCAAAAUCCUCAUAAUAAAUUUUAAAAAAG